This 484-nucleotide ribosomal RNA is filed under the name uncultured bacterium. RNAcentral describes it as "partial 16S ribosomal RNA". It matches the Rfam family "Bacterial small subunit ribosomal RNA", at positions 29 to 507 of the family's 1533-position model. The record is from RNAcentral.
AAUGAACGCUGGCGGCAGGCCUAACACAUGCAAGUCGAGCGGAUGAAGGGAGCUUGCUCCUGGAUUCAGCGGCGGACGGGUGGGUAAUGCCUAGGAAUCUGCCUGGUAGUGGGGGAUAACGUCCGGAAACGGGCGCUAAUAUCGCAUACGUCCUGAGGGAGAAAGUGGGGGAUCUUCGGACCUCACGCUAUCUGCUGAGCCUAGGUCGGAUUAGCUAGUUGGUGGGGUAAAGGCCUACCAAGGCGACGAUCCGUAACUGGUCUGAGAGGACGAUCAGUCACACUGGAACUGAGACACGGUCCAGACUCCUACGGGAGGCAGCAGUGGGGAAUAUUGGACAAUGGGCGAAAGCCUGAUCCAGCCAUGCCGCGUGUGUGAAGAAGGUCUUCGGAUUGUAAAGCACUUUAAGUUGGGAGGAAGGACAGUAAGUUUAUACCUUGCUGUUUUGACGUUACCAACAGAAUAAGCACCGGCUAACUUCGUG